AGCGACUUCCUGUCCGUGGGCUGAGAGGAGGGUGAUCAUGGGCCUGGGCCGCAGAACAGUGGCUCGGAGGGCGCAGGCUGCCCGGCCUCCGCCCCCUGCAAGCUGAGGGCUGUCCGCGCUGUCUUUCCGACGGCCCCACCCCCGGCUCUCUGAGCUCCGCGAGGUGAAGUCAUCUCCCGGGGGCUCGGGAGUGGCCGCGGGCCUCGCGGAGGUUCCCGGAUCUCGGCGUCGUUGCCGCGGUGUCCUUGUCUUUCUUUUGGGGACCAGGAGGGGGUUCUUGGGGGAAGGAGGGGAGAGCGGAGGCCGCCAUCUUGCUUCUAGAGGGUCAGCUCAUGUUCCCUGGGCGUCUCAGGGUUGAGGCCGCUCGUGUGGCGUGGCCGGGGGUAUUCAGAGCGGAGCUGGCGACGUGGCUUGUCACGGGCCAAAUCCCAGGAGGCGGGUCAGCCGCCUACCCUGGCUGGAGGGUCUCGUGGCUGCCCUGGGCCUCAUCUAACUGCUGAUCCCCUGGAGAAUUCGCUUUCUCGGACGGUCUGCGAGUUCUUUCUGAGGGGUGUCGGACCCCCCUGCGACUCUGCAGGUGUCGGUGUGGCACUGAGAUCAUCUUGCGGCCCCAUGGCACUGUGAUUUGGUAGCUUGUGAGAAGUAGUUUCACUAAAUCCGUAAAUUUAAGUUAGCAGCUACAGAUUCUUAUGUCUUGACAUUUAUUCGCUUAUCUCUCUUUGCUCCCCACAAAUUGAGUACCAACUAUAUUCCUGGUAUGAGCCAUUCAAGGAAUGUCCAGUCUAGUGGGCAGACAUACAUGAAAGCAAAUCAUUGCUAUUGGAAGUAUGGUUUAUCAAGAUGUACAGCGUGAAGAAUGGAUAGCUUUACUAACGUAGGUUAGAGUUUUAAAGAUAAAUAGGCAUUUUCUACUACAAAAAUAGGGGUGGGAUGGCAAAUCCGGAUCCGAACAGAAAGGAGAUGCAGCACGGGGACAAAUAAUUUGUUGAGAAGAAUGAGUAAUAAUUACAGGUCUUGAAGUUCAAACUUAGGUUGCUGAAGAAGAUGAGGCUGGAGAAGAAAACAGGAGCCAAAUCACGAAUCGUCUAUGCCUUGGAAUUGCUCCAUUCCAAUAAAAAUAUUUUAAAUUUAAUCAUUGACAACAGUUAAGCUGGCCAUAGGCUGAGGAUUGAGGAUGGUGGGUUGCACAAAUAUCUGCUGAAUGGAGAGCUAGAAGGAGGAUGACUUCAAGAAGAGUCAGCAAUAGGAACGCAAUGAAAGACAACCUCAAAUUCAUUAGUCAGCCUGUCUCAGCUGCUUUUUGGUGGCUCACAGCUAUGCUAACCUAGCAUAAAGCAGUGAGAAAUAGAAUACUUCAUUUUGAGCAGAGCUUCAGAAAACCACAAAUAGUAAAAGCCCUAUAAAUAAUAGCUACAGCUGCAAACCAAAGACUAAUUAUUAGUUUUUAACUCUAUAUCCCUGUAGAGCAGCAUUUUUGAACACACAAAAAAAGAGAAACGCGUUCACUUACGUCUUAGAUUAUUUAAAUACAGUAUUCUCAAUUUGUCUAGGAUAAAAAAGCAUUUAGGUGUAUUGAACAACCAUAUAAUGGAUAAUAUACUGAACAGGAAAUGAGAAUAAUUAGCUUGAGUCCCUUUUUUGUCAGUUGUUCACCGUAUGACCCUAGCAAUGUUACUUAACCUCUCUAUGCCCUAGUUUCUCUGACUGUAAAAUAGAGAUAAUAAUAACUUUCUAUCAGCCGCCUCUCAAAGAUAUUAUAGGAAAUAACAAAUUAAUGCUAUGAAAGCUCUUUGAGGUACUUGGAUGAAAGGGCAUAAUUGUAAGUACAUAUUAUUAGUAAUUAGCACUAAUAUCCAGUAGCACCCAUGAGCAUUCCUGACUUUGCUGCCUGGAUUACUCAAAGAACAUGAAGGAUCCUGUUUUGAAAUACACUUAGAUCUUUUUUCUUAACUUGUGAAUUGACUUUACUAUUUAUGAUCAAACCUUGUGUAUUAACAAAUAUAGUUAAUGAAAGAGGGAAGUAAAAAGAAGUUUUGGUAACCACAACUUUUAUAUUCAUGCUACUCAUAGCUAAUAUAUGCUUUGGGGGAAAAUACAGGGUAGAUAGGGAUUUGCCAGAAGCAUGUUUUAGAAUUAAUGAUUAGUCUACUCCAGUCAGUUAACUGGAAUUUUGUAUUAAAAACAUUAUUCAUGUCCCCAUAGAAUAAUGCAGUCCCUAUAGAAUUUAUAGACAGUUACAUGUUUGACACAAUUAAGUUGAACAUUCCUGUGAAACUCUGUCAUUCUCAUCACUGUUUAAUCACAAACAUGUAAUGAAAUAUAUAGACUUGUGAAGUUUUGUCCAAUGUCUAUCCCUAAAGUAGAUGAGAAUUUUUUCCAUUAAAUUGGUGACUUCAGUAUUUCCUUUAGAGAGGUGUAUGCAUAAUGUAAACAUUUAAAUGUAUUCAUGACUACAUAAUGUGCAUGUUUAUUUUUAUACACUUGCUUAUAUACCAAUUUAUAAAAUUAUCAUAUAAUGUAUAUUAACUAUACAUCUGGGAACAGCAAUGACAAACAAGGCUUCUUUGUGUUUUAGGGCCAGAUAAGAAAGUAAUUGGUUAAUAGCCAUUUGUCACCACUGGUGAAAAAUCAACUCAAAAUCAUGUUUUAUUAUUUAUUAGAGUUAUGAGCAUUAUCUAUAAGAUUCAUGACACCAUGACUUGGUGUGGUGGCUCACACCUGUAAUCCCAGCAUUUUGGGAGGCCGAGGCAUGUGGAUCGCUUGAAUACAGGAGUUAAAGACUAGCUUGGACAGCAUAGGGAGCCCUCAUCUCUAUUAAAAAAAAAAAUUAAAAAAAAACAACACUAGGCAGGCAUAGUGGCAUUCACCUGUGGUCCCAGUUACUCAGUAGGCUGAGGUGGAUCCCUUGAACCCAGGAGGUCGAGGCUACAGUGCCUGUGAUCAUUACACUGUACUGCAGCCUGGGCAACAAAAUGAAACCCUGUCUCAAAAAAGAAAAAAAAUUCCGUGACACCUUGACAUUUGUACUAUUUCAUUUUGUUUUCACAAUUUUGUGAGAUACAAAUUGUUGAAAGAAAUAGGCUCAGAGUGCUGAAAGACUAGCGCUCUGAGACUAGUUUUUAAAGACUUAAAAAUUCACUACAGUUGUCAAGUAACAUACCCAAACACACAUUUUGAGAUUCUCAAAAUAUAUUGUUUCUUUUAGUACUUUAUACCAGGGUCACCAGCUUGAUAUGACAGUCCAGAAUGUAUUUAUAAUAUGGACAUUUCUGGCUUAUUAUUGAUUGCCUGCAGCAUCUCCAAAAUUCAGCCAAACUUAACGUUUUUAAAACUGAAAACUACAAUUCUUAUGUUUAUGGCUGUAUCUUUACCAGCUUGAAGACAGGUACAUUGUUUUAUUCAUUUUUGUAUCCUUCAUGGUGCCCAAAAUAAGUACUCAGAAAAUAUUUUGGGGAUGAGUAAAAUGUAUAUUGUGAUGUUUAGUUGAAUUAGCGGGAAAAAAGCUGAUACAAUCACCUCAGAAACUUUUUUAGGAGGUCGUACACAUUUUCAGCACAUUCAUGUGAAGAUAGUUUAUUUGGGUUUGUACUUUAAAUUGGUGGAACCAUUGCCUCAAUUUCCCACUUCAUUUUUAAUGACGUCAUGCCUUGGAGAGAUAGGCUUAAGUAGGUGAUGCAGAUGACAGUCACCUGUAUGAUAUGCCUCUGGAUAUGUUUGUUGGGCUUAGAUAGUCCGGAUGACCCACAACAAAAGGGUCAUCUAGAAUAUCUAAACACAGCUUUAAUGAGAAUGUGUAAAGAGUGGGGUUAUGAGAGUUUGGGUCUUCAUAAUUCUCCCCUUCAUGCCGACGACCCUUGUGGACCACAUAUUUCUAUACUUUUCUGUCAAGGGAUUAGAGGAUAAGACUACUCUAUCAGUGGUUCCCAAAUGUGACUGCUUAUCACAAUCACCUGUGUAGUUUCAAAGGCAAUUCAGAUUCUCAAGUCCCACUCUAAACAGAAAAUAUUUAGAUUUAGGAUUAGAAAAUACUGGGUGAAGUCCAAGGCAUCUGUAACUGUAAUAACACUCUCCCUUGAAUUCCAAUGAUCAGUCAGGUUUGGGAAGUUCUGGUUUCAAUAACUUGUUCAAGGUCACACAGAACCCUAAAUAGAGCCAGAAACUAACUCAAAUCUUUUGAGUCCAAGUUAAAUAUAUUUUCAUUGGACUCCUGCUGUCCAUUUACUGACAAUAUAUGAUGGGGUAGGAUGAAGAGGUGGGGAGAAAAGUAGCAAUUUUAGUUUUUUCAUUUUUAUUUUUUACCAUAUUCUAUGACAUGGUUUUAAGAUUAAAUGAGCUAACAUCCAUAGAGUGCUUAGAACAGUAUCUGGCACAUGGUAAUUAGGUGUAACGGUUCAACGAAUAAGUCUCCAUUGUCCAGUCAUGGCAUUCACUUUGCCUGGGGUUACAUUAGGUAACAUUUUAUUGGAUAUCGACUUUUUCUAUGAAGAAAAAAAUGUAUGUAAAUAAAGGUGGAAUCUUUAGCCUUUAUUUGUCAUGGAAGCCCUGAAUUUGUAUAGCUGAAAAUAUUUCUAUAUUGUUUCUUUUCAUCUUUUCUGAUAUAUUAAGAAAAUGUUAAUGAUAUACUUAUUAAAUAAAAUUGUGGAUGUAUAGCUGUGUAGUAUUUUUAUAUUAUCUAAUUUAGCAUAUAAGAUAAGGUAUUUUACAUUGUCUUCCUAUCACUGAACUAGCUCCAAAAUUGAUUCUUAUUGGUAUGUAAUUAAGCAUUUAGUUUUUAGAAGUUAUUGUUUGGAUUGAUCUUCCAGAUGAAAUAUUUCCCCUUAACGAGGUAAUAGAUAUACGUGGCUCUAUUUUAUUCCCUUAUUUCUCUGCAAGUUUUUCAGUUUUUCAAUCUUGAACAACUUUUUACACUUGUUAAUUAUAAAUAAAAUUAUGCAUUUUCAUUACUAGUAAGGGAAGAACCCAAUUUAAUACUUUAAAAUGCUCUUUGAUACAUUUGGACAAAGUCUGUGAAAAUAUGCCUUUGGUCAGUCCCUGUCACUAUGAAAAUUGACAUCCAUUUUUGUUUUUAUUCAGUUUUAUAAGUUAUAUUAUUUUUGAGGGAUUACCCUAUACCCAGCAUCAAUUUCUAGUGGCUCCUGUAAUCCCAGCACUUUGGGAGGCUGAGGCAGGAGAAUGGCGUGAACCCGGGAGGCGGAGCUCGCAGUGAGCCGUGAUCGCGCCACUGCUCUCCAGCCUGGGCAACAAAGCGAGACUCCAUCUCAAAAAAAAAAAAAAAAAAAAAAAAAAAAAAAAAAAAAAAAAAAAAAACCAAUUAUUGUAUUAUAAAUGAAUUGAUUUAUCCUGGAAAAAGGUAGAAGUAGUGAUAGACCAGAACAGAAGAUAUUUAUAACCUCAGGAGGUAUAUGGCAGGUAGAGUAGAUCAGACUAAUGGAGAAGCUAGAAAAAGAAUCAGAUAUCAUCAGUGAUGAAGCUCCUAACUAUUUGAAUCCAGAGUCAGCCAAGGAAAUGGGGUUAAAUUACCACUUGUGAAAUAUUUGCAGUAUUUCAGACAUUGUAUAAGGCACUUACCAAAACAAGAAAUGGCUGGCUAGGUCCCAUGAAUCUAGGUAGUUUGAGUCUUGAGAGUCAGAGAAAAUAGUAAUAGUAAACAGGAUAUUUAUAUUACUCUAUAUUUCUACACUUAUAUACUUUAUUAUAAGAAUUCAAUUAAUAAUAACAUGAGUGUGUGUUAGUUACUACUUAUAAUCAAAUUAACAAGUUUUGAACUAUACUCAUUCCUUCCUCCAUUCUUUUUACAAUAGAGGCCAUCAUUCAAUGCGUAUUCUAGGUCUUGGCUACUCCUGUCUAGUUGGGACCUUGGUCCAUCAAUUAUUCUCUUUCUGUUGUGUCUUCAGCCUCUCACUCUUUACUGGUUUCUUGCCAUUAGCAUUCUCAUUUGUUAAAGUGUCUUCUUCAUGCAUAUCCUCCUUCUAGCUUCUGCUCAAAUUAUCCUUUCCCCUAAGGAGAAUUUUUGAGAAAAUUGUCUAUGCUUGCUUAUCACCAAUUCCUCACCUCCAAGUUACCCUCAACCAUAUAUUAGACUUUUACCC
This 6089-nucleotide long non-coding RNA is filed under the name Homo sapiens (human). Its description in RNAcentral is "non-protein coding lnc-MPLKIP-5:3". Lineage: Eukaryota; Metazoa; Chordata; Mammalia; Primates; Hominidae. The record is from RNAcentral.